UCUAAAUUGCAGCACUUCUAGAACAUGCUCACUUCAUUCCCGAAAAUAGUGACAUAUUUUAACAAAAGAGGCGCCACCACAAUCACAAUCAUCAUAACAAAGCCAGGGAAAGAGUCAAAUUUCACAACGCAACCAACCCCACAAAAUGCAAGAGGAAAGAAAUUAAACUAGAACACACCACCUAGCAGGAAUAAAACUCAAAUUUUCACCAAUUUUGUAACUUGAAACUCAAAAACACAAAACCCAGCAUCCAUAAAGAUCAAAUUACUCAUCUCUUCAACUGUGUGCAGAAUUAUCCCAAAAAAAGGGCUAUUGAAAGAUCAAGGGCUUUACAACGACCCCUGUGAUUGCCGAUCCUUGACAUUUUAUACUCAACUAUGUGAAUCGCUGAGGCUUUUAGAUCGAAGAUAAUCCUACAAUUUACCAAGGUUUUGAUGCCCCUCCAAAAAACAAAGAAAUACCAGUAUCAUGCGACCAAUGUUAAAUGCAAUAUAAGUUAAAAGCUGUACAAUCAACCAGAGGAAAACGAGUAAAGUUAAAUUCUGAAAGCUGCUUCAAAGGUAAAACAAACUUAGCUGCAGGAUGGGGCAUGGUGAGAGAUCACAAUGAAAAUGUAUACAGAAAUGAGAUUGUGCUACCAAUCUUGCUACACUACGGAAUGGGUAGAAGCAGACUCAAUGGUAGCUGUCCAACUAUCUCAAAAAUGGCUACCAGACCAUGACACGUCCAAUACUUUAUAUCAGAGAUACAUCAUUUGCUUAAGCAAAUGGAAGUCUCAGCUACUAACAUAUGAAGGGAACGAAAUGCAGUUGCUGAUUGGUUGGCUACUACAGGCCAUAAAGAAAUGAUAUCAAAGACAUUGGUAGCCCACAGGAAUUGCCUGGAGAAGGUGGUGGUCUAAUUCAGAAUGGACAAAUACGGAUUUCCUUAUUCUAGAUUUUGAAAUGUUUUUUUGUAAAUGACACGUACUUGUAUAAUCUUUCUUGUGUAAAUAUGCUUACAAGUAGAAUACUAAAUUUUCCCUUAAAUUCACUUGUAAUUCCUUAGUAAGGCCGUUAUGUCUCACUAACUCUGGUCUUUUCAAUACCAAUACGCUAGGGCAGUGCCACAG
This 1111-nucleotide long non-coding RNA is filed under the name Olea europaea subsp. europaea. Lineage: Eukaryota; Viridiplantae; Streptophyta; Magnoliopsida; Lamiales; Oleaceae. The record is from RNAcentral.